GUGAGAAUUGCGGCAGCUUACACAUGCAGUCGAGCGCCCCCUCGGGGGAGCGGCAGACGGGUGAGUAAUGCAUGGGAAUCUACCUAGCUCUACGGAAUAACUCAGGGAAACUUGAACUAAUACCGUAUACGUCCUUCGGGAGAAAGAUUUAUCGGAGUUAGAUGAGCCCAUGUCUGAUUAGCUAGUUGGUGAGGUAAAGGCUCACCAAGGCGACGAUCAGUAGCUGGUCUGAGAGGAUGAUCAGCCACACUGGGACUGAGACACGGCCCAGACUCCUACGGGAGGCAGCAGUGGGGAAUAUUGGACAAUGGGCGCAAGCCUGAUCCAGCCAUGCCGCGUGAGUGAUGAAGGCCCUAGGGUUGUAAAGCUCUUUCACCGGUGAAGAUAAUGACGGUAACCGGAGAAGAAGCCCCGGCUAACUUCGUGCCAGCAGCCGCGGUAAU
RNAcentral lists this ribosomal RNA (443 nucleotides) under Nitratireductor aquimarinus. Its description in RNAcentral is "bacterial SSU rRNA". It matches the Rfam family "Bacterial small subunit ribosomal RNA", at positions 37 to 524 of the family's 1533-position model. Lineage: Bacteria; Pseudomonadati; Pseudomonadota; Alphaproteobacteria; Hyphomicrobiales; Phyllobacteriaceae. The record is from RNAcentral.